CACUGAUAAUGGCAAACUUAUUGAAAAAUAAGGACGCAAAGUUAUGGGUCUAAGGCUCCACAUGAAGGAGCUAUGAUUGCCAGACCGCCAAA
Molecule: non-coding RNA, 92 nt
Filed under: Paenibacillus sp.
Lineage: Bacteria; Bacillati; Bacillota; Bacilli; Caryophanales; Paenibacillaceae
Also listed under: 1 other name
Description: c-di-GMP sequence
Rfam family: c-di-GMP-I riboswitch aptamer
About the family: GEMM was predicted in a large-scale screen for bacterial structured RNA regulatory elements.
Source: RNAcentral